Long non-coding RNA from Lemur catta (Ring-tailed lemur), 1357 nucleotides. RefSeq lists it as uncharacterized. The transcript has 3 exons. The record is from RefSeq and is a predicted model, not a curated record. Lineage: Eukaryota; Metazoa; Chordata; Mammalia; Primates; Lemuridae.
GGGGCCGCCCUCGGCGCGCGGGCGGCAAACGCGGGCGCCCGGCUCGCACGCCAGCCGCCUGCCGCCGGGAAACUCCCCGGCGCUGCUUUGCUGUCGUGCUGUGGAGAAGGGAGACUUCUAUGAGUCGGGACAGCUCAGACUUCUGGUAACCCCUGCCAUGCAGAAAGUAACCUAGUGCCAAGAAAUGGAAAAGUCUUCUGAGAAGGUGACAGAACUGCCACAAAGUUCAUGCACUCAAGUCUCUAGGUCCUAAGGAGUGUGCUGGGCUGUGGAGAGUGUCUUAGCAGAAAGAAAGGUACUGGAAGUGUAUUUCUGGAUGCCUAGGAGCCGAGGAAGUAAUCAGAAAGAAGAAAGAUGCCUUCCCGUGUCCAGGAAAUACAGAUGGCAGAUGCUCGGGGAGGAGAGGGCAGGGCUGCAGGGGGAAAGGACCUGCAGGAAACCAUGAAAAGGCCUCAGAAGAGACGGGAGGAGCCGUAAGUGCUUGCUAAGAACAGAAAGUUCAGAGCCCAGUUCAGGACGGUCUGGUCAUGUAAGAUUUCUCUGGCCACCUGACCUUUCCUAUAUCCCCUCCGCACAGCACCAUGGGGGGCAUGAAGGGGGCUGGGUUAGGAAAGGAGGGAAGGAGGCGCUAAGAGGAAGGAGGAAGAAGAUGGCCGUGUCCCCGCUUCCACAGUAGGCGCCUUCCGUAUGGCAGGUCUCAGCUGGGGGAGAAAAAGGUAGACUGAAGUUUCAUUCAUUACCUGAGGUCGGACACACUAAUUACUGAACUGAGACUGAUUUAGUGACCAGAAGGGACCGGAGGGCUUGUCUGUCUGGGAGGGAUGAGAAGAGUUGCUGGGAUCUGCCCAGGAUUCACGCACAUGGCACGGGGCUGUCCCAUAGCACGAGCUGCGGCAGCCAGAGGAAAAGUGAAGUUGCUUUAUGGUCGCAUCCCACCAGUCCUGUUCUCUCAAUCUAACCAUUGUAUCCACAGAAAAGAAGCAGUGAAGUAACCAUUCCCAAAGACUAAUUAUAAUUCAGAUAGUAAACAAAGAAAAUGGAAAUGAUUUGAUUAAUUGAGCAUUUUCCCGAAGGGAAAGUUUUUACAAAUACACAUGGGAAAGAACAGGCUUUACCUUCUUUGCUACUUCUGCUAGCAGAAGCGUCUUCCCAGUGCACGGUCCGCCAUAUAUAAUCAGAGGAUUGAUGUGCCCAGUUUUGCUUGGAAGAAUGUAGUUAUGCACUAUGUUUAGAGAUUCACAUUUGUACUCAUAGAAGGAGGCGUAUGUUUUACAUAAUGACGAAUGUUGAAGGAUUUCAUCGUAGAGUGUGUCCGUUUCAGUGUCAAAAUUCUGUUGCACCGUUGCCUGAAUUAUAU